RNAcentral lists this ribosomal RNA (248 nucleotides) under uncultured bacterium. RNAcentral's name for it is "partial 16S ribosomal RNA". It matches the Rfam family "Bacterial small subunit ribosomal RNA", at positions 529 to 776 of the family's 1533-position model. The record is from RNAcentral.
AGGGUACGAGCGUUGUCCGGAAUUACUGGGCGUAAAGAGCUCGUAGGUGGUUUGUCGCGUUGUUCGUGAAAUCUCACGGCUUAACUGUGAGCGUGCGGGCGAUACGGGCAGACUAGAGUACUGCAGGGGAGACUGGAAUUCCUGGUGUAGCGGUGGAAUGCGCAGAUAUCAGGAGGAACACCGGUGGCGAAGGCGGGUCUCUGGGCAGUAACUGACGCUGAGGAGCGAAAGCGUGGGGAGCGAACAGG